RNAcentral lists this ribosomal RNA (1235 nucleotides) under metagenome. RNAcentral describes it as "bacterial SSU rRNA". It matches the Rfam family "Bacterial small subunit ribosomal RNA", at positions 267 to 1520 of the family's 1533-position model. The record is from RNAcentral.
ACCAAGGCAUCGACGGGUAGCUGGUCUGAGAGGACGAUCAGCCACACUGGGACUGAGACACGGCCCAGACUCCUACGGGAGGCAGCAGUGGGGAAUCUUGCGCAAUGGGCGAAAGCCUGACGCAGCAACGCCGCGUGGGGGAUGAAGGCUCUCGGGUUGUAAACCCCUUUCAGCAGGGACGAAUCAUACGGUACCUGCAGAAGAAGCCCCGGCUAACUACGUGCCAGCAGCCGCGGUAACACGUAGGGGGCAAGCGUUGUCCGGAUUUAUUGGGCGUAAAGAGCUCGUAGGCGGCUGAGUAAGUCGGGUGUUAAAUCCCCAGGCUCAACCUGGGACACCACCCGAUACUGCUCUGGCUAGAGUCCGGUAGGGGAGCGUGGAAUUCCUGGUGUAGCGGUGAAAUGCGCAGAUAUCAGGGGGAACACCAGCGGCGAAGGCGGCGCUCUGGGCCGGAACUGACGCUGAGGAGCGAAAGCGUGGGUAGCAAACAGGAUUAGAUACCCUGGUAGUCCACGCCGUAAACGUUGGGCACUAGGUGUGGGGUCUAUUCAACGGACUCCGUGCCGUCGCUAACGCAUUAAGUGCCCCGCCUGGGGAGUACGGCCGCAAGGCUAAAACUCAAAGGAAUUGACGGGGGCCCGCACAAGCAGCGGAGCAUGUUGCUUAAUUCGAGGCAACGCGAAGAACCUUACCUGGGUUUGACAUGUAGAGAAAAGCCGUAGAGAUACGGUGUCCUUCGGGGUUCUACACAGGUGGUGCAUGGUUGUCGUCAGCUCGUGUCGUGAGAUGUUGGGUUAAGUCCCGCAACGAGCGCAACCCUUGUCCUAUGUUGCCAGCACGUAAUGGUGGGGACUCGUAGGAGACUGCCGGGGUCAACUCGGAGGAAGGUGGGGAUGACGUCAAAUCAUCAUGCCCCUUAUAUCCAGGGCUGCAAACAUGCUACAAUGGCCGGUACAAAGGGCAGCGAAACCGCGAGGUGGAGCGAAUCCCAUAAAGCCGGUCUCAGUUCGGAUUGGAGUCUGCAACUCGACUCCAUGAAGCUGGAGUUGCUAGUAAUCCCGGAUCAACGCCGGGGUGAAUACGUUCCCGGGCCUUGUACACACCGCCCGUCACACCAUGAAAGUUGGAAACGCCCGAAGCCAGUGGCCCAACCCUUUUGGGAGGGAGCUGUCGAAGGUGGAAUCAGCGAUCAGGGUGAAGUCGAAACAAGGUAGCCGUACCGGGAGGUGCGGCUG